CUCCAGAUGUUGCUGAACUACAACUCCCAUGAUUCUCAACCUAGCUAUCUCAUUCAUAGAAUCAUGGGAGUUGUAGUUCAGCAACAUCUGGAG
This is a non-coding RNA of Pelobates cultripes (western spadefoot toad), 93 nucleotides long. NCBI's taxonomy places the organism in Eukaryota, Metazoa, Chordata, Amphibia, Anura, Pelobatidae. The record is from the annotation of a GenBank genome assembly.